CAGUCGAGAAUCUUCGUCAAUGGGCGAAAGCCUGAACGAGCGACGCCGCGUGUGGGAUGACGGCCUUUGGGUUGUAAACCACUGUCGAGGGGGAUGAAGGCCUGGUAGUCAUCUGCCAGGUUUGACAGAGCCCUGGAGGAAGCACGGGCUAAGUUCGUGCCAGCAGCCGCGGUAAUACGAACUGUGCGAACGUUAUUCGGAAUCACUGGGCUUACAGGGUGCGUAGGCGGCCCAACAAGUCAGGUGUGAAAGCCCUCGGCUCAACCGAGGAACUGCGCUUGAAACUGUUAGGCUCGAGUCAGCUAGAGGUGCACGGAACUUCCAGUGGAGCGGUGAAAUGUGUUGAUAUUGGAAGGAACACCGGAGGCGAAAGCGGUGCACUGGGGCUGGUCUGACGCUGAGGCACGAAAGCCAGGGGAGCGAACGGGAUUAGA
This 434-nucleotide ribosomal RNA is filed under the name uncultured bacterium. Its description in RNAcentral is "bacterial SSU rRNA". It matches the Rfam family "Bacterial small subunit ribosomal RNA", at positions 352 to 782 of the family's 1533-position model. The record is from RNAcentral.